Molecule: ribosomal RNA, 746 nt
Filed under: uncultured bacterium
Lineage: Bacteria
Description: bacterial SSU rRNA
Rfam family: Bacterial small subunit ribosomal RNA
Source: RNAcentral
AGAGUUUGAUCAUGGCUCAGAACGAACGUUGGCGGCGUGGAUUAGGCAUGCAAGUCGAGGGAAUCCCAGCAAUGGGGGAACCGGCGUAAGGGGCAGUAAGGCAUGGGUACCUACCUUUGGGUUCGGGAUAGCCAUCAGAGAUGGUGGGUAAUACCGGAUGACGUCUGGCGACCAAAGAUUUAUCGCCCGGAGAGGGGCCCAUGUGAUAUUAGGUAGUUGGUGAGGUAACGGCUCACCAAGCCGAAGAUGUCUAGCAGGUGUGAGAGCACGGCCUGCCACAUCGGGACUGAGACACUGCCCGGACUCCUACGGGAGGCUGCAGCGACGAAUCUUCCGCAAUGGGCGCAAGCCUGACGGAGCGACGCCGCGUGCGGGAUGAAGCGGCUUUGCCGUGUAAACCGCUGUCAGGGGAUAGAAACAUUGAUCAUCUCCAAAGGAAGGGGCGACUAACUCUGUGCCAGCAGUCGCGGUAAGACAGAGGCCCCGAGCGUUAAUCGGAAUCACUGGGCUUAAAGGGUGCGUAGGCGGACUUGUAAGUGUCGUGUGAAAGCCCGCCGCUCAACGGUGGAACCGCACGGCAAACUGCGAGUCUAGAGGAACUCAGAGGCCGGCAGAACGAUUGGUGGAGCGGUGGAAUGUGUAGAUAUCAAUCGGAAUGCCGAAGGUGAAGACCGCCGGCUGGGGGUUUCCUGACGCUGAGGCACGAAAGCGUGGGGAGCAAACAGGAUUAGAUACCCUGGUAGUCC